Molecule: non-coding RNA, 98 nt
Organism: Acanthosepion pharaonis
Lineage: Eukaryota; Metazoa; Mollusca; Cephalopoda; Sepiida; Sepiidae
Source: the annotation of a GenBank genome assembly
AUUGAAACACCGGUUCCGUACGAUCGUCGAAGUUAAGAAUCAUUGAGUCUGGUCAGUACAUAGAUGGGCAACCGCUUGGGAAUACCAAGUGUUGUAAG